This 468-nucleotide ribosomal RNA is filed under the name uncultured bacterium. Its description in RNAcentral is "partial 16S ribosomal RNA". It matches the Rfam family "Bacterial small subunit ribosomal RNA", at positions 28 to 507 of the family's 1533-position model. The record is from RNAcentral.
GACGAACGCUGGCGGCGUGCUUAACACAUGCAAGUCGAACGGAAAGGCCCUGCUUUUGUGGGGUGCUCGAGUGGCGAACGGGUGAGUAACACGUGAGUAUCCUGCCCUUGACUUUGGGAUAACUUCAGGAAACUGGGGCUAAUACCGGGUAGGAGCUCCUGCUGCAUGGUGGGGGUUGGAAAGUUUCGGCGGUUGGGGAUGGACUCGCGGCUUAUCAGCUUGUUGGUGGGGUAGUGGCUUACCAAGGCUUCGACGGGUAGCCGGCCUGGGAGGGUGACCGGCCACAUUGGGACUACGGUACGGCGCAGACUCCUACGGGAGGCAGUAGUCGAGAAUAUUACACAACGGGCGGACGCCUGAGCUAGCGGCGCCGCGUGCGGGAUGACGUCUUUCUGGUUAUAAACCACUUUCGCCUGUGACGAGGCCGGAGUGACGGUAAUGGAUAAAGAAGCACCGGCUAACUACGUG